UGCCUGCUAUCAGUGCUUAUACCACCAAAAACUCUACUUCGUUUGGUCUAUGGAUGCCUAAAUAUGAAAGAGACCCACUUAGAUUCUAUCUAAAAUCUAUGCUUGUGAAAUUGUGAGUUUACUUUUUAAUUACAGAGGUAAUGUGACCUCUUGGGAAAUAUUUUAAGAUUUGGUGGCAGCUGUAAUCUAAAUGCUUUGAUUAGGCAUUGACUCAAAAAAAAAAAAAAAAAAAAAAAAACCUCCUGAAAAUGGCUGCAAUAUUCUUUAGCAAAGCCUGCCACCUAGUGGCAACAAUAUGACUAACAAAGAACUUGGUUUUAAACCAUAGAAAAGACAGAGCCCUUGAGUAUGAGUGGUGAAUAUAAUUACCAUCCUAUCUAGACAAUGUUCUAAAAAAUUUACUCUAGGUUGAAAAGAAGAAAGUGUUCUAAAAAAUCACAUGAAUCUUCCAUCUUAGUUCUUCUAGAAAAAUUUAAAUUUUACACUCACCUAUUCCCAAAUCUUGACCUUUUCGUCUGUCUCCAAUAACAGUAUACAGCGUGUGAGACCUGGAAUCCUUUCCAGAAUGUACGUAAGAUGGCAGCCAUGCAUAUUCCUCUUGUAUUUUAGCUAACUGCUACAACAGCUGCAACAAUAUAUUCACACUUAGUGAGGAAGUUAGUGGGGGAUGGUUUGGACUUUUAAAAAAAAUGGUGCCUGAGUCUUUAGCCUCGGUUGGCCUGGACCUCGUGGUGUUCCACAGGCUGCCUUUGAAUGUGAAAUGUUUCUCCUGUGUCUGCCUCCUCAAUGUUGGGAUUCCAGGCAUGCAUAAACUAUCAUGCCCAGCUCAUAUGGCUUUUGUGUAACCUCUUAUGAAAAGAAUGUUGGAAAUUAAUGAAUGGGAGAGGCUAAAUGCCUCAUACUUCAUAUUUCAUAAUAUUUUCAUAAAAGGUUGAAUGACUGGGAGGAUGGAAAUAGUUUGUGCUUUGAAGGAACACAGCACACACUGUAUUUUUAUUGAAAUUCGAAAAAGGUCUUCAAACACAUUCUCCCUGACAUUUCCUUUGCUUCUAUUUGACUGUCUCUUGGACAGUAUUAGUCUACAAUCCAAAUAAUGUGUUUCAAACACUUCACAGUGACUCAAAUAGCUAAGUUGGGUUUUUUUUUGUUGUUGUUGUUGUAUGUAGAACAUAGCCCAGCUUUUGAUUAAAGUCUUAUGUGGAUAGAGGCCUAAGGUUCCCUGAAGAGCCAUGUGGUGUAAGGCACUCUGAAGGGGUCCUGCCCAGUUUUAGAUUUUAGAAAUAUGUCUGUCCUGGGAAAGUUAGGGCAAAAAGAGAAAAAGCAGAUGGAUCAUUACAGGCUUUCAUACGGGAUCAACUCCUAGCAUAUCUCUAGAUUUUCUUAGACACUUCAGAUUUUACACAUCUCAAACUGAACUGUGACUGUACCUCUUCCAAACAUGCUUCCUUCUGUGUCUGUCUCACAGCAAAAGGUACUUCUCUCCUCAAUCUGGUUAUAGAAACCAUUAGACUACAAGUCAUUUUUGGUCGCUGUCUUCCUCUCUCCUUAUAUCCAGAAACCAAACC
Molecule: long non-coding RNA, 1565 nt
Filed under: Mus musculus (house mouse)
Lineage: Eukaryota; Metazoa; Chordata; Mammalia; Rodentia; Muridae
Description: long non-coding RNA chr2:14703152-14704717
Source: RNAcentral